AAAUUGAAGAGUUUGAUCAUGGCUCAGAUUGAACGCUGGCGGCAGGCCUAACACAUGCAAGUCGAACGGUAGCACAGAGAGCUUGCUCUCGGGUGACGAGUGGCGGACGGGUGAGUAAUGUCUGGGAAACUGCCCGAUGGAGGGGGAUAACUACUGGAAACGGUAGCUAAUACCGCAUAACGUCGCAAGACCAAAGAGGGGGACCUUAGGGCCUCUUGCCAUCGGAUGUGCCCAGAUGGGAUUAGCUUGUAGGUGAGGUAACGGCUCACCUAGGCGACGAUCCCUAGCUGGUCUGAGAGGAUGACCAGCCACACUGGAACUGAGACACGGUCCAGACUCCUACGGGAGGCAGCAGUGGGGAAUAUUGCACAAUGGGCGCAAGCCUGAUGCAGCCAUGCCGCGUGUAUGAAGAAGGCCUUCGGGUUGUAAAGUACUUUCAGCGGGGAGGAAGGGAGUGAGGUUAAUAACCU
Molecule: ribosomal RNA, 470 nt
Filed under: Klebsiella oxytoca
Lineage: Bacteria; Pseudomonadati; Pseudomonadota; Gammaproteobacteria; Enterobacterales; Enterobacteriaceae
Description: bacterial SSU rRNA
Rfam family: Bacterial small subunit ribosomal RNA
Source: RNAcentral